Molecule: ribosomal RNA, 1469 nt
Filed under: uncultured Bordetella sp.
Lineage: Bacteria; Pseudomonadati; Pseudomonadota; Betaproteobacteria; Burkholderiales; Alcaligenaceae
Description: partial 16S-23S ribosomal RNA intergenic spacer
Rfam family: Bacterial small subunit ribosomal RNA
Source: RNAcentral
GGUUCGAUCAUGGCUCAGAUUGAACGCUGGCAGGAUGCUUUACACGGCACAAGUCGAACGGCAGCACGGAUUCGGUCUGGUGGCGAGUGGCGAACGGGUGAGUAAUGUAUCCGGAACAGUGCCUAGUAGCGGGGGGAUAACUACGCAGCGUAGCUAAUACCGCAUACGCCCUUCGAGAAAGCGAGACCUUCGGGCCUCGCACUAUUAGAGCGGCCGAUAUCGGAUUAGCUAGUUGGUGGGGUAACAGCUCCUGGCGACGAUCCGUAGCUGGUUUGAGAGAACCAGCCACACUGGGACUGAGACGCGGCCCAGACUCCUACGGGAGGCAGCAGUGAAAUUUUGGACAAUGGGGAAACCCUGAUCCAGCCAUCCCGCGUGUGCGAUGAAGGCCUUCGGUUUUGUAAAGCACUUUUGGCAGGAAGAAACGGCACGGGAUAUUACCCCGAUGCAAUGACGGUACCUGCAAGGUCAGCACCGGCUAACUACAUUGCAACGGCCGCGGUAAUACGUAGGGUGCAAGCGUUAAUCGGAAUUACUGGGCGUAAAGCGUGCGCAGGCGGUUCGGAAGAAAAGAUGUGAAAUCCCAGGCUUAACUUUGGAACUGCAUUUUUUUAUUCCGAGCUAGAGUGUGUCAGAGGGAAGUUGGAAUUCCGCGUGUAGCAGUGAAAUGCGUAGAUAUGGAGAGACACCGAUGGCGAAGGCAGCCUCCUGGGAUAACACUGACGCUCAUGCACGAAAAGCGUGGAGGCAAACGGGAUUAGAUACCUGGUAGUCCACGCCCUAAACGAUGUCGACUAGCUGUUGGGGCCUUCGGGCCUUGGUAGCGCAGCCCAACGCGUGAAGUUGACCGCCUGGGGCCGAUCGCAGAUUAAAACUCAAAGGAAUUGACGGGGACCCGCACAAGCGGUGGAUGAUGUGGAUUAAUUCGAUGCAACGCGAAAAACCUUACCUACCCUUGACAUGUCUGGAAUCGAAAGAGAUUUUGUAAGUGCUCGCAAGGAACCGGAACACAGGUGCUGCAUGGCUGUCGUCAGCUCGUGUCGUGGAUGUUGGGUUAAGUCCCGCAACGAGCGCAACCGCUGUCAUUAGUUGCUACGAAAGGGCACUCUAAUGAGACUGCCGGUGACAAACCGGAGGAAGGUGGGGAUGACGACAAGUCCUCAUGGCCCUUAUGGGUAGGGCUUCACACGUCAUACAAUGGUCAGGACAGAGGUCGCCAACCCGCGAGGGGAGCCAAUCCCAGAAACCCGAUCGUAGUCCGGAUCGCAGUCUGCGACCCGACUGCGGCAGUCAGAAUCGCUAGUAAUCAUGAUCCAAUAAUAAGCAGUGAAUACGUUCCCGGGUCUUGUAGCACACGCCCGUCACACCAUGGGAGUGGGUUUUACCAGAAGUAGUUAGCUAACCGCAAGGCGGUCCCGGACGGGAUUCAUGACUGGGGCAGUCGUAACAAGAGUAACUCCUGUUACUAC